Long non-coding RNA from Bombus pyrosoma, 486 nucleotides. RefSeq lists it as uncharacterized. The record is from RefSeq and is a predicted model, not a curated record. Lineage: Eukaryota; Metazoa; Arthropoda; Insecta; Hymenoptera; Apidae. The transcript has 2 exons.
UCUACGGCCAGGCCAGGCGCGUGUUUUCUCAUGGAAAUCGGUUUUCGCGCGCGCCACCAAAUUUCCUUCUCAUGGAAAUCGCGACUGUUACGGAGAAACGCUUGGGAAUGGUCUGCGAACGAUACGGAAAUGUAGGCGUCCUAUUGUCGUCUUCCGUUUGAAUGCAACAUCGAGAAACAACGCUGUCUCUUCGACGAAACGUGGCAGAAAAUGCGAAGCGCAGCUGCACAUGUUUCGAAGCUUCUUAAUCUUCGUUUUCUGGUGGCGUUCGCUAUAUCUGUGACGACGUCUCGAUGUAUCGAUACGAUGUAUGCACACGCUCGACGAGAAACGAGGCGCUCGAAGAAAAGCUCCUCCCUCUUAUGAAAUGUGCCUCCGACCCACUUGAAUUUCGACUUGACUCCUCGAUCAUCGGUUAUCCGCAUAUAAAUUACACUAGUGACAGUGACACCGCAAUACCUAUGAUAAAUAAAUAGAUCACCAGUA